This is a long non-coding RNA of Fukomys damarensis (Damara mole-rat), 1666 nucleotides long. RefSeq lists it as uncharacterized. The transcript has 3 exons. Lineage: Eukaryota; Metazoa; Chordata; Mammalia; Rodentia; Bathyergidae. The record is from RefSeq and is a predicted model, not a curated record.
UGGGCUCCCUGGGUCCCCUUUCCCUCUGCUGUUGGAGGUGGACUUGGGUGGGGGCCCGAGGAGAUCUGGGAACACCGAUUUUCUGAGCUCAUAGAGCCCCUGGCAAGCUCAAUCUGCAUCCUUUUCUGGCUUUUCCCUUGUUCCUCCCCUGCAGAGGCCUGAACAAUGCUCUUCCUGAGCCCAACAAAUACUUAUUGAUGAGCUGGAGUGGAGGGAAAAAGAGAUUUAUGGGGGAAGAGUGGCAGCAAAUAAAAAGAGAGGUUCCCCCACGGACCCCAGGGUCGUGCAUAAUCAACGCAACCCCUUUCCAGAUUAUAAAGUCAGUUUGCAGAGGAGAGAAGGGACAGCGAUGCUGAAUUUUAUUCCUACCUCCGGCACUCGCGUCCAGCCCCUGGGGUGACCAUCGGAGCCGCCCUUGAUCGCCAUCUCUGCGGCAGACUGGAAGGACUGCGCACGGCCAAGCAGGUGAAAAGGAAGUGGUGUUAUCUGGCCGGCAAUGAAUCUCGCCAGUCUUUGUCUACUGCUAGAACGAAUUCAUCCGCAGGUGCCGUGUUAUUUACUGAUUUAAUCAUCCCAUUCGGUGCCACUUCACAACCGCGCACUUUUAAGUAAAAUAAUGUUCGACUGCACGUAUCUCGAUUACACGUGUCAGCAGAGAGAGGAAGGGAGGCAUUCGGCUUCCUGCUGUGUGCUUGCUCUUGCUGGCUCCGAACACCUCUGGCUGGGAGCAGUCAGGUUUCCCGCACCAGCUGUGGUGGCGGAAGUGGGUUGCAGGGAGGAGGACAGAGGCCCACUCAUCCGUUCAGCAUACGGCUGUCCUGGUGCUGGCUCUCAGGGAAGCAGAGCCAGGCGAGUCAGGGAUCCCAGAGCAAGGAGCGAGACAGAGACGAGGAGGCAGCCAACCAGGGGCUCAUUGUUGAGUCAGCUCCAUCGUGGGCGCUGAGCUCGCCCUGGGCACAUGCUUGACUCCGCCUACCUGAGGGGGCAGGGGACCUGGGAUAUCGAACCCCAGUUCCCACCUAUCACUGGUUGCCAAUCACUUCUAGGGUGGUGAAAUAAGCCUUGAUGGCCAGAGAAAGUCCUCAAGCAGAUGCUCUCAGUUCGGAGUGCGAGGCUGCACCAAAGUGAUAAGGCUUACUGCACAGUGGCAGAAAAAUUCCGGACACCCAAUAAAGAAUCACCAGUAGCUCUGGCAAACCUGGGAAAGUGGAUGAGCAGUCAAAAGCUAUGCUGACCACGGGACUGAUGCCAUCUACCUGCAACCUGGGUGGCCACAUUUCAUUAAGAGGAGAGAGUGACAGAAAUUUCCAGAUGAAAAGGAGAACACAUUGAAGAGAAAAACCACUGGGCAGCGCACCACAAUCAAGUCCUCUUUCUCACUGUCCCCCUCUGUCAUCUCCCCUGAUCUAACGCCGAGUCACUGGGAUGGGGACACAUUAGAGUUCUGUGAAGUGGCUGUGGUUAAUACAGCCUUCAUGUGCAGCUGAUGUUUUUGUUCCUUAACUACCUCUUGUUCCUUUGAGGGAGCAAGAGGCUGCAUUCUGUACCAGAGUUGGGCUCUGCUGUGCACAUUCCCCGGAGAUGUCACCGCAGACAACAUAGAAGGAUGUUUCAGAAACCCUUGACUCAGAAUCCCUUGGCCAUUCCCUAGUAAUUAAAGGUUGAA